Molecule: ribosomal RNA, 1530 nt
Filed under: Escherichia coli DEC10A
Lineage: Bacteria; Pseudomonadati; Pseudomonadota; Gammaproteobacteria; Enterobacterales; Enterobacteriaceae
Description: bacterial SSU rRNA
Rfam family: Bacterial small subunit ribosomal RNA
Source: RNAcentral
AGAGUUUGAUCAUGGCUCAGAUUGAACGCUGGCGGCAGGCCUAACACAUGCAAGUCGAACGGUAACAGGAAGCAGCUUGCUGCUUCGCUGACGAGUGGCGGACGGGUGAGUAAUGUCUGGGAAACUGCCUGAUGGAGGGGGAUAACUACUGGAAACGGUAGCUAAUACCGCAUAACGUCGCAAGACCAAAGAGGGGGACCUUCGGGCCUCUUGCCAUCGGAUGUGCCCAGAUGGGAUUAGCUUGUUGGUGGGGUAACGGCUCACCAAGGCGACGAUCCCUAGCUGGUCUGAGAGGAUGACCAGCCACACUGGAACUGAGACACGGUCCAGACUCCUACGGGAGGCAGCAGUGGGGAAUAUUGCACAAUGGGCGCAAGCCUGAUGCAGCCAUGCCGCGUGUAUGAAGAAGGCCUUCGGGUUGUAAAGUACUUUCAGCGGGGAGGAAGGGAGUAAAGUUAAUACCUUUGCUCAUUGACGUUACCCGCAGAAGAAGCACCGGCUAACUCCGUGCCAGCAGCCGCGGUAAUACGGAGGGUGCAAGCGUUAAUCGGAAUUACUGGGCGUAAAGCGCACGCAGGCGGUUUGUUAAGUCAGAUGUGAAAUCCCCGGGCUCAACCUGGGAACUGCAUCUGAUACUGGCAAGCUUGAGUCUCGUAGAGGGGGGUAGAAUUCCAGGUGUAGCGGUGAAAUGCGUAGAGAUCUGGAGGAAUACCGGUGGCGAAGGCGGCCCCCUGGACGAAGACUGACGCUCAGGUGCGAAAGCGUGGGGAGCAAACAGGAUUAGAUACCCUGGUAGUCCACGCCGUAAACGAUGUCGACUUGGAGGUUGUGCCCUUGAGGCGUGGCUUCCGGAGCUAACGCGUUAAGUCGACCGCCUGGGGAGUACGGCCGCAAGGUUAAAACUCAAAUGAAUUGACGGGGGCCCGCACAAGCGGUGGAGCAUGUGGUUUAAUUCGAUGCAACGCGAAGAACCUUACCUGGUCUUGACAUCCACGGAAGUUUUCAGAGAUGAGAAUGUGCCUUCGGGAACCGUGAGACAGGUGCUGCAUGGCUGUCGUCAGCUCGUGUUGUGAAAUGUUGGGUUAAGUCCCGCAACGAGCGCAACCCUUAUCCUUUGUUGCCAGCGGUCCGGCCGGGAACUCAAAGGAGACUGCCAGUGAUAAACUGGAGGAAGGUGGGGAUGACGUCAAGUCAUCAUGGCCCUUACGACCAGGGCUACACACGUGCUACAAUGGCGCAUACAAAGAGAAGCGACCUCGCGAGAGCAAGCGGACCUCAUAAAGUGCGUCGUAGUCCGGAUUGGAGUCUGCAACUCGACUCCAUGAAGUCGGAAUCGCUAGUAAUCGUGGAUCAGAAUGCCACGGUGAAUACGUCCCCGGGCCUUGUACACACCGCCCGUCACACCAUGGGAGUGGGUUGCAAAAGAAGUAGGUAGCUUAACCUUCGGGAGGGCGCUUACCACUUUGUGAUUCAUGACUGGGGUGAAGUCGUAACAAGGUAACCGUAGGGGAACCUGCGGUUGGAUCACCU